AGGAUUUGGUUUAGAAUUUAGCACUUGUAUAGAGUUUGAUUUAGGAUUUAGAAUUUAGGAUUUAGAAUUUUUUUGAGGUUUGAUUUAGGAUUUAGGAUUUGAUUUAGGGUCUAGGAUUUGAUUUAGGAUUUUCUAAGAUUUGAUUUAGGAUUUGGUUUAAGGUCUAGGAUUUGAUCUAGGAUUUGUUUAGGAUUUGAUUGAAAUCCAUUAGGAUUUCAGUUAGGAUUAAAUUAGAACUUGAUUGAAAUUUAUGUAAGAUAUAUUUGUGAUUAUUAUAAUAUUUUUUAGAGAUUCUUAAGGAUUCUUUUAAGAUUUAUUAUAGAUUUUUUUUAGUUCUUUGAAGAUUUUUUAUUGUUUCUUUUGUAAUUU
RNAcentral lists this long non-coding RNA (369 nucleotides) under Physcomitrium patens. Its description in RNAcentral is "long non-coding RNA (PPAT_LNC004325)". Lineage: Eukaryota; Viridiplantae; Streptophyta; Bryopsida; Funariales; Funariaceae. The record is from RNAcentral.